GCAAGCUUCUGGCUUUAGUGCGGCGGCAGCGGCUCCCAAUCCGUCCUCUGUCAUUUCUUGUGCGUGGAUUGUGGACUGACGGGACCCAAACCAGGACAAUGGGCCCGCGAACGCUGAGCUCCGAGUGCCGCCAGCGGACGCUGUGGCGACAGGCCUGAGGACCGGGCCGACUGGGCAGGGGAGGAGCCAGGUUGGGGUGAAAGACCUGUGACCGAGGCCAAUGGAUGGGCCGAAUGAGUCCAGGUGUCUGGCGGCUGUGGCAGAAUGGCUGAUUGGGGCUUGUCAAGCAGCAUGUUGGUGUUCCUGUGCUGUGUAUUCAUGUAAUGGGUACAUAACUGACUAUGAAGAAGGAGCAGUUGAAUGGGUCCUGAGACAGAAGUAGAACUUCAGUGCCAGCGAGAUGGCUCAGGGAGUUACGGCACUUGCCACCAAGCCAGGAUCCACAUGGUGGAAGGACAGAACUGAAUCCCAAAAGUUGACCUCUGACUUCCACAGUGUACCAUCCCUCCCCUCACUACCUCACAAGUAAAUGUCAUUUCAAAAGAAACUGAUCCUGAUACAAAGGCCAGUGCCCAAGGGGCUGCCACGAUUGCACUUUUCUCUUAGAGUGUCUUAGUCAGGGUUUCUAUUGCUGCGAUGAAACACCGUGACCAAAAAGCAAGUUGGGGAGGAAAGGACUUAUUUGGCUUACAUGUCCACAUUGCUAUUCAUCACCAAAGGAAGUCAGGACAGAAACUCAAACAGGGCAGAAUCCUUGAGGCAGGAGCUGAUGCAGAGGCCAUGGAGGGGUGCUGCUUACUGACUUACUCAUCAUGGCUUGCUCAGCCUACUUUCCUAUAGAACCCAGGACCAUCAGCCCAGGGAUGGCUCCACCCACAAUGGGCUGGACCCUUCCACAUUGAUCACUAAUUGAUAAAAUGCACUAAUUGAUAAAAUGCCUCAUAUGGAGGCAUUUCCUCAACUGGGGCUCCUUCCUCUCUGAUGACUCUACUUUGUGUCAAGUUGACACACAAAACCAGCUAGUACAUAGAGGCUCAGUUCUGAAGUUCUACUUAAUCAUUUUCUUGAUGGUUUCACUGUGGAUCUAUAUUUCCAGAGUUCACCAUGAAUCUGUGUUUACAGAGACUAUGAUUCUGGUUUUGUUUAAUGUUUUGGUCCUUUUAAAAGGCAUGAGGUUGUUUGAUGUUGUUUGUUUGUUUGUUUGUUUGAACUCAUUGUGUAGCCCUAGCUAGCCUUGAACUCAUGAUGAUCCUCCUGUCUCAGCCUCCCAAGUACUGGGAUUACAUCAUUUCCAACCAUAGUGUAUUUUUGGAAUCAUUAGUGACUUGUGUGGCUGAGGUUCGUUCCUUUCCUAUUGCAUCCAUUACAUCCAUUCUGUACGCCAUUAGAACUACAUCUGGCUUCCUGUUCCUGCCCUGAGCAUUCUUGAGCAUAGAGCAGUACUCCCUCUAGGACAGGAGUCUCUGAAGGUGUGAUAAGGGAGAGACGCUCAGGGUCUGCGCAGCUGUCGUUUGGGGUGCUACUGCCAUCUAGUGUCAAGUGCAGGAUAUCCUGGGCAUCCUGACAACUUCGUGGCUCCCACAACUGUGAGACCCGCCCCAAAUACACACAAAGAAUUGUUUAGUUCCUAUGUCAGGUAGGGAAACCCUGCCUUAAAUAUGUGGAAUGGCUUUU
RNAcentral lists this long non-coding RNA (1674 nucleotides) under Cricetulus griseus (Chinese hamster). Its description in RNAcentral is "lncRNA (ENSCGRG00015036056.1)". Lineage: Eukaryota; Metazoa; Chordata; Mammalia; Rodentia; Cricetidae. The record is from RNAcentral.